GCUUUGCUUUUUUUUUUUUUUUUUUAAGAAAAAGGUUUUCUAGUUUCUUCUACAUUAAAAACAAUCCCUCCUUCUCAUAAAGCACAAUUUUACAGAGGAAAAGGGAGAUGUGAAACUAUACACAAUUCAAAUCUAAUUAAUAUAUAAUUCUUUUGUGGAAUACAUAUGGAGGGAAUACAUCACAAUACUAAAGGUGAUUAUCUUUGGAUGGUGGGAUUACAGGUGAUUAUAUAUUUUUUAUAUUUCUAUAGUUUAAAAAUAUUCCAUGAUGACCUAUAAUUACUUUUACUUAUUUAUUUUUUGAGACAAAAUCUCACUCUGUUGACCAAGGCUGGAGCGCAGUGGUGCAAUCUCGGCUUAGUGCAAUCUCGGUGUAGUCUCGACCUCACAGGCUCAAGUGAUCCUCCCACCUCAGCCUCCGGAGAAGCUGGGACUACAGCUCUUUGCCCAGCUUCCAGUGACUCCUCUGUGCCUGGAGAGAAGGGCAAGCGCCUUACUCAUGCCUUGAGGUUGCUGACCACUUCCGUCACCAGCCUCGCUCCUUCCAGACCUGUCCUGGGAGUCCCUGCCUCCUGGCCUUCACCUGCAUCACGGUCUGCACUUCUCAGAGCCCUGCCCUUCCUUGAAGAACAAAGCCUGGCCAAAUUGUGUCAGCCUGCUGGCCUGCAGUGACCCCUGCUUACAUCGUACAUAACAAUAGCUAUAACUUAUUGACAUUAACUUCAGGUCACAUAGCAAAAGUGCUCUCAUUUAAAUCUUAGGCUACCAGAGGAUCCAUAGACUAAAAUGUUAACAGCAUCUCCUGGAGUUGUGGAGUGUGGUGACCCUAUGUGAUCCUCCUGUGCCACUGAGAGAUAUAUUAUUAACCCAGUUUCACUGAUAAGAUAACUGAGGCUCAGAGAGGUCAAGUAACUUGCCCAUGGUCACACAGUGGGUCCAUGGCAGAGCUGGGAGGUGAUCCCUAGUCAGUUCCCUCCAAGUCCAGGAUUUUCUCACUCCCACAAUGGUGUCUCCCUUAAUGACUCUCACAUUCCAGCCUCUGAGGGCAGGAAGGGUAUGUUCUGAGUUGAACACACAGAGAGCACUCAAUGAUGUCUGGUGGUGAAGAUGUUAAUCAUGAGCUCAAUCAAGGUUUAUCAUUAAAUCAACAAGUCUUCCUAGCGUGUCUGGGAGCUCUGGGGCCCAGGGACAGGCCUACUGUAGUUCAGUGUUGUAUUCUGGCACCUGGUGGUUUCUGGCACAUAGCCCAUGUUCAUCAAAUGACAUGAAUGAUUGUCCAUUCAAAUAAUAAAACAAUAAAUAAAUAAUACUAGCUAACAGGUAUGGAGUGCCUACAAGCCAGCCACCUCAGGGAGUUUCCAGGACAGUUGAGGAGAAACAUAACACUGUUGACAAGAGCUACAACGUAGGGUUUUACACCAAAACAGUGUCUACGUAAACAGUGUCUAUCAAAGAGAGAAAAAUGAUGGGCAGACACCCUGAUCCUUCCCACAGUGCUAAAGGCCAUGCCAGCCACUGUCCCCAUUACAACUUGCAUAUACUGACUGCCGAAGCACACAAACCUGAAUUUUCCGUCUGCAUCCAUCGUUCUGUCUGUUCGGAUCACAUCUGGAUACUACUGUUCCCUCUCCAGACUGGAUAACCAGUCUGCUGAGGGCCAGAAGAUGGUGAGAUGGAAACUAGUCAUGUUUAGCUUGGAGAAGAGAAAUGAAGACCGUCUUUAACACCUGACAGGUUGCUCUUCCCAAGAGGGGCCAGUGGGCAACAGCUGUGGUCAACAGCUCCAGGCACCCCUGAGGAAGCCUGCUCCAGCUGGCAGGGCUGUCUGGCAAGGGACCAGUCCCUCCUCUGGAGAAGUGGUGAGCCCAGUGGGCUGCCUCUCCAGCAGGAUCCUAUAGAGACCUUACUCUCUACAAUGCACACUCCACACACUUGCUCACUUGACAAACACUUAUUAUAACUGUCACCCUAGGCCCAUUCCAGGUUAGGGACAUAAGGAUGAAUAAAACAAGGUCUGUACCAGUAGAGAACAUCAGUCCCCUAGGGGAGAAAGUCAGGAAAGCCUCAUCCUGAGCCUUGGACUCCUUACUGUCCAUCCUGUAGGCUCCUGUCUCAGCUUCUGCUGAAGGCUAUUUUCUUCCUUGUAUUCUGCAGUGACCAGGCAUAUGGCAGAUAAUCAACAAAUACAGGCAUCCCUGAAGAGGGUAUCCUGGGAUAAAAGCCCCAGCUGGAUCAGUGCUAUACAGGGGCCAACUGGGGGUGGGUCCCAGGCAGGGUCAUUUGCAGGGGUCCCUCUGCCCCUUCAAGUCCUGCCAGACAGGCCUUGGCCAUGGUUUCUUCCUGCCCCUGUCCCCUGACCACAGUUGAUCUCCCCUGGCUGUUAUGAAAUGUCAAAGAAUGUCCUGCAAUCCUAAAUUCCAUAAUGAUCUUUAUCUUCUGUUCCCUCUGAGGCUCCUCAAUCUGCAGUAACAGCUGUGGUUCAGCAAGCAGUGCGGCACUCUGGAGUGCUGUUCUGAAACAGGGCCGGCGUGGGGCAGAGCUCAUCUACUGCCCUGUCCAUUCACUGUGCUGUUCGGGGCUAGAGAAGAUUCAUGUGUGUAUAUGCUUUUUAAAAAUUGUGAAACAAUAAUUAUGCAGAAAAAUACACAGAAUAUAUGUUCAGUUUAACAAAUAAUCAUAAAGCAAAUCUCUAUAAAACCACUGCUGCUCUGCAGUGACCCCUGCUUCCCCCUAAGUCGUGCAUAACAAUAGCUACAAUUUACUGACCAUGAAAUUCAGGUCACACAGCAAAGGUGUUCUCAUUUAAUCUUUGGCCACCAGAGGCUGCAUAGACUAAAAUGUGAACAGUGUCCCCUGCAGUUGUGGAGUGUGGUGACCCUAUUGGAUCUUCUCACGCCACUGAGGGAUAUACUGUUUUCUGUAGAGAAGUCCAGCAGAGUCACUGUCCUGGGGGGCAUCCUUCUUGAUCGCCCCCAUGCCAUGAAGGCCCAUUCCCUGCCCAGGGCUCUAGAGUCUGAGCUUCUCCAAGAGGGAAUGGAGUCUUUCGCAGAGGGGCUGUGGAGCCUUGUAAGGCUGAAUCUAACCACGAGCAGGGAUUUUGGGCAGCUGCAUAUCCCAGAUGGUUUCCCAGUGGAUCAGCUUCCUGUUGCUGCUCUAAUAAACUAACAUAAACUUAGGGGCUUAAAACAACACAAAUUUCUUUUCUUAUAGUUCCGUAGGUCAGAAGUCCAAAACAGGUCUCACUGGGCUAAACUGAAGGUGUCAGCAGGGCUGCAUUCCUUCCUGGGGGCUCUAGUAGAGAAUCUCUUUCCUUUCUUCCCCUUUCCAGCUUUUAGAGGCUGCCUGCAUUCCUUGGCCUGCGGCCCCUUCCUCCACCUUCAAAGCCAGCACUGGCUGGCCAGGUCUUUCAUAUAUUGCAAUCUCUCUGCUUCUGCUUCUGCUUCUGACCCUUCUGCCUCUCUCUUCUCCAUUUAAGAAUGCUUGUGAUUACAUUGGGCUCACCCACCCCAGUUUCUACCCAAUAAUCCAGGGUAAUCUCCCAAAGUUAAAGAGAGAAAACAAUACUAGCACCCCCAAAGCACCUACGUGUUCCCCUACUAAUCACAACCCCAACCCUCCCUUCUGCAUAAGUAAAUAGACAUUUGUAAUAAUUCUGUGCUUUUUGUAGUUUGACCUCCUCUGCAUGUAUCCUUAACAAUACAGUUUUGCCAGCUGUUAGAUUUUUGCUAAAAG
This 3732-nucleotide non-coding RNA is filed under the name Pan troglodytes (chimpanzee). Lineage: Eukaryota; Metazoa; Chordata; Mammalia; Primates; Hominidae. The record is from RNAcentral.